UUCAAUUCACCCCCCCUCUUGUGUUAGUCAUCUGGGCAACAGUAAGAAAAUCUUAAGCUCGCACAUUGUUUGAGGGAAAGGGAGGCCGCCAACAAAAAGGAAGGUUCCACCUUUGGAGAAGGCUGCAACAAAGCGAAAGAAGAAACCGACUUGUAGGAAAAUAUUUGAUGAAGCAUCACAUGAUUCAGAGGUCUCAGAAGCUCCAACAACUAAUCAGGUACACAGUGGAAGUAAGGAUGAUUUUGUUGUUCUAACAUAGUGCAGUACGUUUACCAACCCAACGCCAUCGAAAAAUGAGGAGAACUGAUGUUGUAGCUACUAGCAAGUAUUUAUGUAACUCUCAAUAUUUUGAGACUUGUGAAGUAAUUUGAUGUAAU
Long non-coding RNA from Carya illinoinensis, 377 nucleotides. RefSeq lists it as uncharacterized. The transcript has 3 exons. The record is from RefSeq and is a predicted model, not a curated record. NCBI's taxonomy places the organism in Eukaryota, Viridiplantae, Streptophyta, Magnoliopsida, Fagales, Juglandaceae.